Molecule: long non-coding RNA, 260 nt
Filed under: Helianthus annuus (common sunflower)
Lineage: Eukaryota; Viridiplantae; Streptophyta; Magnoliopsida; Asterales; Asteraceae
Description: hypothetical non coding rna
Source: RNAcentral
GGUCUAGGGUUGUUCCUUGAAGUGAGUAUGUUACCACUGAGAUAAAGACGUGGUCUAGAUAAGCUCUAGAACAUAGACAAAUGGAGCUGUGCUGGAUCCAAAACUUGACAGACUCUUUGAGCGUUCAAAUGAGGGACAGAAGCUAGACUUAUCCUUAAGAGACUGAAUCAUUUUACAGACCUAUUCUGCAUCUUGCAACCCAUGGUAUUAAUCAUAUAUUAUGGCACUGUAAGUGACUCUAACCACUGAUUCAAACUCCU